This 427-nucleotide ribosomal RNA is filed under the name Sorineuchora nigra. RNAcentral describes it as "partial 16S ribosomal RNA". It matches the Rfam family "Archaeal large subunit ribosomal RNA", at positions 1923 to 2592 of the family's 2987-position model. Lineage: Eukaryota; Metazoa; Arthropoda; Insecta; Blattodea; Pseudophyllodromiidae. The record is from RNAcentral.
UUUCUUUUGUUUAUAUAAUAGGUAUAACCUGCCCAAUGAAACUUUAAUGGCCGCGGUAUACUGACCGUGCAAAGGUAGCAUAAUCAUUAGUCUUUUAAUUGAAGAAUGGAAUGAAAGGUUGAACGAAAAAUUGACUGUUUCUUUGUUAUUUUAUUUUGAAAUUGAUUAUUGAGUGAAAAGGCUUAAAUAUUGUUAUGGGACGAGAAGACCCUAUAGAGUUUAAUAUCUUACUGUUAGUUUUUGUUUAUUAUGUUAUUAAAUUUUAAUGUAUUUUAUUGGGGCGAUAUAAAGAUAAUAUUAACUCUUUUUUAUUUAUAAUAUUAAUUUAUAGAUUAUUGAUCCAGUACUAUUGAUUAUAAGACUAAAUUACCUUAGGGAUAACAGCGUUAUCCUCUUAGAGAGUUCUUAUCGAUAAGGGGGAUUGCGA